AGCACAGCCAUAUUCCUGCACGAUACAUCAAUGGUGUACCCUCUGUCUUUGCUGUUUUUUGGUGGUGGGUUUGAAUUUAAAUCCGAUGGAGAGGGUGGAACUGUUAUCGAGAUUAACGACGAGCUGAAAUUUCACUGUGAUAAUAAAACAGCUGAUCUCAUUAAGGAAUUGAAAUUGCGGUUAGAUAUGCUCCUAGAAUACAAAUCCUCACAUCCUGGAGUCACAGACUGGACUCAAAACUCAAACGAAGGCGCCAUAUUAAGAGCUAUAACCCGUUUAUUAACUUCUGAAGAUCAAUUUGUCUUAAGGAAGUUAGCAAGUAGUUAAAGACCCCACCUUACUGGUUCAUACAGUCAGCUUCACAGGGCCCAGAAAAUCUCUCAGGAGAUUUUAAACAAUAUCGACAAAUUUUACCGCUGCACAAGCUGUCAUAAAUCGAUCGAUCAUCUGUCAUCUGGGAAGAAUCUCACCUAGAGGUUACGCUCAAUCACUUCUCAAGACUUCAAUUUUUAUCGGAAAUCAGUCAAUAGGAUCACUCGACCAUUCAACGAAGAAAUUUGCUCACAUGGAGCACUCUAUCCAAUCUUUUUAGUUAUUUUUAUCUGGGAUAAAUUAUUUCAUGCUUUCUAUUUUAUUUUUAUCAAAAAGUUUGGCAAGUACUACCUCAUUAAAUGCUUUAAGAGUAAUAGCUCCAAGAUUUUACUGCCAUUAAUUAAGGCGCCGGUUGCGAGAAGGGCAUCUCUCGAUUGUGGCGUUUUAAAAUCUUUGUUGUUAAUUUAUGUCUGAGAGGAAAAUUUAAUGGGCGACUUUCCGUGAUUUUUUCUAUGAAAAUACUGUAGAUUUUUAAAGAUUCAGUAAAAAUUUCAAUGAAAUGCAUCCAUUUACUUUCCUGACUAUGAAUAAACUAUUAGCGGAGAUUCUGAAAUAUCGCAACAAAGAAGUGCUCUUCUCGCACUCUGAAUCUUAAUUAUCUGGCUCACAGAUGGAAAAGUGUUGAUUUCUUUAUUUACCAAAUUAGAAUCAGAUUUGUUUCUGGCAAGAAUGUCUCCACUAAGAGCACCCCACUGUGAUUUUUUUUUACAUUUAUUUCAACAUUUUACUGAAAGAGUCCUGUAAUCAGGGACUUGAUAUUUUAUGUAAUUCUCUCACUGUUUGAGGAUCCCUCUUUUUACUCAUUCAAAAGUAAUAUCUCAACAGUUAAUUUUUGUACACUGCACGUUUCUUGAUUACUGUAGAAAGUUCGUUCUCCAUAGUGAGAAGACAUUGAGGUUGCUUCUUUGGCUGAAAUACUGGUUUCCAAUUUGAUAUUUUACCGGAAGAUGUUAUCAUGUUAAGAAGUACUAUUAAUGGUGAAGGUUAACAAAUUCCAGAUCUUGAUUUGCGACAUCAUAGAUUCUUUCUAGUGUUUUCUAAUACUAGAGGAAACCAGGGGAUACGCCCCUUGGCCGCUGAACGAGGUGUGAUCAAAAAGUUCCCGGAAUUUUCCCGCCAUUUCUUUAAAAAUGGUCGUAUUGAGUCGAUCUUGGGCGUUUUGGAAAGCUAAAGACCUCCCAAAUACGGCGGUGUUUUGGUUUUAGACCUACCUUUAUACCUUUAUUAGUUUUUUUACAGCACUCGUCAAAAGGGGUACAUGUUUGCAAUGAUCUGCAAUGAAGUUAUACAAGAGAAAGGAAUUGAAUUUGAAAAGCAAUUUUACAUGUUGAAAUAUUUCUUUUACCUGACAGGAGUUAAAUGUCGAAUUCGUCUCCUUCGGAAUACUGUCCUUCAGAGUCCAUGCAGUGAUCCCAACGUUUCUUCCACUUGUGGAACGCCUCUUGGAAGUCGGUUUCGGUCAACGAAUUAAACAUAUUCUGCGACUCGCAUUGGAUCUGUUUGACUUUGUUAAAACGCCGGCCUUUCAUGCUGAGUUUUGUUUUUAGAAACAAGAAGAAAUCACCUGGAGCCAGAUCCGGAGAAUGAGGAAGAUAGGAAGAUGUGGAAGUACAUCACGUUUACCCUUUGCUCGAUUUUCAAAAGCAUCUUUGCCAAAACUAAAAUUUAGACACAAACAGAAACACCAAAUAGAGCCACUGGAAGAUGCACACUGACCAGGUCUCCGAAAAUGCAUUUUACUUGGCCAAAAGACAGCAGCAUCAGUUGAAUAACAAGUGAGACACAUUAUCAAGAUACCUGCUCGAUAUCUUAUCAGUGUUGCGAUUGAACUCAUCCUUUCUUGUCCGCCAAAAAUCAAGCUAUGCAGUUGAGUGACAUUUUCAUAUUUCAUCACAAAUAUUUCAUUGCAGAUCAAUGCAAACAUGUACCCCUUUCGACGAGUGCUGUAAAUAAACUAUUAAAGCUAGCUCAAAAACCAAAACACCGUCGUAUUGGUGAGGUCUUUACUUUCCAAAACGCCCAAGAUCAACUCAAAACUACCAUUUUUAAAGAAAUGGCGGGAAAAUUCCGGGAAUUUUUUGAUCACACCUUGUAAAUAAUGAAAAUCGGCAGGGUAGAUCUUUAGAACAAACUGUGACAGAGACGGAACAUUUGUAUUAUUCAAAUGGGAGAAUCCACAACCUUAUCAUGUGAUAUAAAUAAACCUAAACCAUAUGUUCAAAAUCUAAAAAAGGUGGGCUUAGUUAGGGACCAUCGCCUAUCAAUAGAGGGAACAAUCCUGGAAAUUGGCCCAGUAGAAUGGUAGAACAAUUUUUGACAAAAAAUGAAAAUUUAGGAGGUCGUUUAUAAUAAUUAAUGAUUAGUAAACAUAUUUUUGGAAGUGCUAUUGAUUAUUCUCUCUUCUACAGAGAAUAUUCUGUGAAAAUGUAAAAAAAAUAAUGUUCUUCUGUUGUAUACUUGUUAUAAUUAAAAUCAGCCAUAAUUUUGAAAUUUUGCUAUCAAGGUUCAAGUUUUUUGACUUUUCACAAUCAAUCUUUGGUAUGUCUAUUUUUGAUAAAUCCUUUUAGAAAGUAUUAAUACAUUUAGGCUCCAAAUAUGAAAGUCUUCAUCAGAUCUCACUUGUUAAAGAGAGGAUUUUUGUAUCUCAACCCUUUCGACCAAUCAAAAGUCUUGGAGAAAGAAAGUGGCUGAAGGAAACCCAGUGGACAUAACUUGUAUAUUGUUUUUCACUGAAGAUAAGGAUCUCUGAUUGUGGUCAACCGGCAUUUGAUCUGUACUUAGGUUUUAGUUAAGUCAAAAAUGUGAACAAAUUCUUGAACGGAAUAAAAUUGUGGAAUUCAAAGAAAAAACAGAGAAUUUGUACGGGAAAAUGUUUUUCAUUCUAUCACGUUUGCUUUUGGUAUUUCAUACAAUACUUUUUGCACAAAAAAGUCUUAUUUUUAUCUUCUAAUUUCGUAAUUUUUCUUUGGCCAAAUGGACCAAUAGACCAAUUCAUAGACACAAUGCAUUUCUUUUUUUUUUUCAGUAAUAAAACCAGACUUCUCAUGACUUGUGUCUAUUGAAUGGAGACAUAACAUUAAGGGGAGCAAUUUUGUGAAGUUCAGUCAAAGAGGCAGAAUUUGUUCCUUUCCUGGAAAAAAUCCUCAAAAUGAAUAGCAGGAGGUUCAGUUCAUAUUUAUACUAACAGAGAAGUUAUCUCUGAUUUCACAAUUUUCAGCUCCCAAAUCAGCUUUUAGGAACUUCUAAACUUCAUUACUUUAGCAUGAUUUGGUAUUUUCAGAUGCUUUUUCAUGCCUUAGUGUUCUUAGGACAAGCAUCCAAGCAACAGUACCAAUAUUUUAAAAAUGAAGGUUUUAUCACUGAGACCCCUUUUUUCAUUGAAUAUGAGUGUCAGUCUCUACUAUGAAUGGAAGUCCUACGUUCCUUGUUUUUCUUCGUGAAAAUUUUAAGUAGAGAACAAUUCACACAUCAAUUCGUUCCAAACUAAACUUCAUUGUUUAUGAAUAACAUUAGUCAAAUUACAUAAUACAAAUGAUUUCAUUCGUGUGUCUCAUUGAUCUAUUUGACCUGUGUUGAAAGCUCAUAUUAAUGCCUUAAGACAAGUAGAGUUCAAGCCAAAGUUUAAGCACCCUUAGACUAUGACAGAAGAUCCACCACUUAGAUUCUUGAAUUCUUUUUCCACGCUACAAUGACGUCAGACGAUCGUAGUCUAAUAGUGCGUGACCUUAUUUGGCGUGGACUCUAACAUUGUGUUUUCAUUCAUACCUUGUCCAGCAGUCCUUGUGACCCUCCUGGUACUCAAU
This 4175-nucleotide long non-coding RNA is filed under the name Bemisia tabaci. RNAcentral describes it as "lncRNA ENSASIAIIG005588". The record is from RNAcentral. Lineage: Eukaryota; Metazoa; Arthropoda; Insecta; Hemiptera; Aleyrodidae.